GUUAUAUGGUCAAGUGAAGAAGCGCAUACGGUGGAUGCCUUGGCAGUCAGAGGCGAUGAAAGACGUGGUAGCCUGCGAAAAGCUUCGGGGAGUCGGCAAACAGACUUUGAUCCGGAGAUCUCUGAAUGGGGGAACCCACCUAGGAUAACCUAGGUAUCUUGUACUGAAUCCAUAGGUGCAAGAGGCGAACCAGGGGAACUGAAACAUCUAAGUACCCUGAGGAAAAGAAAUCAACCGAGAUUCCCUUAGUAGUGGCGAGCGAACGGGGAUUAGCCCUUAAGCUUCAUUGAUUUUAGCGGAACGCUCUGGAAAGUGCGGCCAUAGUGGGUGAUAGCCCCGUACGCGAAAGGAUCUUUGAAGUGAAAUCGAGUAGGACGGAGCACGAGAAACUUUGUCUGAACAUGGGGGACCAUCCUCCAAGGCUAAAUACUACUGACUGACCGAUAGUGAACCAGUACCGUGAGGGAAAGGCGAAAAAAAGAACCCGGAGGGGGGUGAAAUAGAACCUGAAACCGUAUGCGUACAAGCAGUGGGAGCCUACUUGUUAGGUGACUGCGUACCUUUGUAUAAUGGGUCAGCGACUUAUAUUCAGUGGCAAGCUUAACCGUAUAGGGUAGGCGUAGCGAAAGCGAGUCUUAAUAGGGCGUUUAGUCGCUGGUAUAGACCCGAAACCGGGCGAUCUAUCCAUGAGCAGGUUGAAGGUUAGGUAACACUGACUGGAGGACCGAACCCCUCCCGUUGAAAAGGUAGGGGAUGACUUGUGGAUCGGAGUGAAAGGCUAAUCAAGCUCGGAGAUAGCUGGUUCUCCUCGAAAGCUAUUUAGGUAGCGCCUCAUGUAUCACUCUGGGGGGUAGAGCACUGUUUCGGCUAGGGGGUCAUCCCGACUUACCAAACCGAUGCAAACUCCGAAUACCCAGAAGUGCCGAGCAUGGGAGACACACGGCGGGUGCUAACGUCCGUCGUGAAAGGGAAACAACCCAGACCGCCAGCUAAGGUCCCAAAGUUGUGGUUAAGUGGUAAACGAUGUGGGAAGGCUUAGACAGCUAGGAGGUUGGCUUAGAAGCAGCCAUCCUUUAAAGAAAGCGUAAUAGCUCACUAGUCGAGUCGGCCUGCGCGGAAGAUGUAACGGGGCUCAAACCACACACCGAAGCUGCGGGUGUCACGUAAGUGACGCGGUAGAGGAGCGUUCUGUAAGCCUGUGAAGGUGAGUUGAGAAGCUUGCUGGAGGUAUCAGAAGUGCGAAUGCUGACAUGAGUAACGACAAUGGGUGUGAAAAACACCCACGCCGAAAGACCAAGGGUUCCUGCGCAACGUUAAUCGACGCAGGGUUAGUCGGUUCCUAAGGCGAGGCUGAAAAAGCGUAGUCGAUGGGAAACAGGUUAAUAUUCCUGUACUUCUGGUUACUGCGAUGGAGGGACGGAGAAGGCUAGGCCAGCUUGGCGUUGGUUGUCCAAGUUUAAGGUGGUAGGCUGAAAUCUUAGGUAAAUCCGGGGUUUCAAGGCCGAGAGCUGAUGACGAGUCGUCUUUUAGAUGACGAAGUGGUUGAUGCCAUGCUUCCAAGAAAAGCUUCUAAGCUUCAGGUAACCAGGAACCGUACCCCAAACCGACACAGGUGGUCGGGUAGAGAAUACCAAGGCGCUUGAGAGAACUCGGGUGAAGGAACUAGGCAAAAUGGCACCGUAACUUCGGGAGAAGGUGCGCCGGCUAGGGUGAAGGAUUUACUCCGUAAGCUCUGGCUGGUCGAAGAUACCAGGCCGCUGCGACUGUUUAUUAAAAACACAGCACUCUGCAAACACGAAAGUGGACGUAUAGGGUGUGACGCCUGCCCGGUGCCGGAAGGUUAAUUGAUGGGGUUAGCGCAAGCGAAGCUCUUGAUCGAAGCCCCGGUAAACGGCGGCCGUAACUAUAACGGUCCUAAGGUAGCGAAAUUCCUUGUCGGGUAAGUUCCGACCUGCACGAAUGGCGUAACGAUGGCGGCGCUGUCUCCACCCGAGACUCAGUGAAAUUGAAAUCGCUGUGAAGAUGCAGUGUAUCCGCGGCUAGACGGAAAGACCCCGUGAACCUUUACUGUAGCUUUGCACUGGACUUUGAGCCUGCUUGUGUAGGAUAGGUGGGAGGCUUUGAAGCGUGGACGCCAGUUCGCGUGGAGCCAUCCUUGAAAUACCACCCUGGCAUGCUUGAGGUUCUAACUCUGGUCCGUAAUCCGGAUCGAGGACAGUGUAUGGUGGGCAGUUUGACUGGGGCGGUCUCCUCCUAAAGAGUAACGGAGGAGUACGAAGGUGCGCUCAGACCGGUCGGAAAUCGGUCGCAGAGUAUAAAGGCAAAAAGCGCGCUUGACUGCGAGACAGACACGUCGAGCAGGUACGAAAGUAGGUCUUAGUGAUCCGGUGGUUCUGUAUGGAAGGGCCAUCGCUCAACGGAUAAAAGGUACUCCGGGGAUAACAGGCUGAUACCGCCCAAGAGUUCAUAUCGACGGCGGUGUUUGGCACCUCGAUGUCGGCUCAUCACAUCCUGGGGCUGAAGCCGGUCCCAAGGGUAUGGCUGUUCGCCAUUUAAAGUGGUACGCGAGCUGGGUUUAGAACGUCGUGAGACAGUUCGGUCCCUAUCUGCCGUGGACGUUUGAGAUUUGAGGGGCUGCUCCUAGUACGAGAGGACCGGAGUGGACGAACCUCUGGUGUUCCGGUUGUCACGCCAGUGGCAUUGCCGGGUAGCUAUGUUCGGAAAAGAUAACCGCUGAAAGCAUCUAAGCGGGAAACUUGCCUCAAGAUGAGAUCUCACUGGGAACUUGAUUCCCCUGAAGGGCCGUCGAAGACUACGACGUUGAUAGGCUGGGUGUGUAAGCGUUGUGAGGCGUUGAGCUAACCAGUACUAAUUGCCCGUGAGGCUUGACCAUAUAACACCCAAACA
RNAcentral lists this ribosomal RNA (2907 nucleotides) under Pseudomonas aeruginosa. Its description in RNAcentral is "23S ribosomal RNA". It matches the Rfam family "Bacterial large subunit ribosomal RNA". Lineage: Bacteria; Pseudomonadati; Pseudomonadota; Gammaproteobacteria; Pseudomonadales; Pseudomonadaceae. The record is from RNAcentral.